Molecule: transfer RNA, 85 nt
Filed under: Arthrobacter sp. Hiyo4
Lineage: Bacteria; Bacillati; Actinomycetota; Actinomycetes; Micrococcales; Micrococcaceae
Description: tRNA-Leu
Rfam family: tRNA
About the family: Transfer RNA (tRNA) molecules are approximately 80 nucleotides in length.
Source: RNAcentral
GCGCGAGUGGUGAAAUUGGCAGACACGCAGGAUUUAGGUUCCUGUGCCUUCGGGCGUGGGGGUUCAAGUCCCCCCUUGCGCACCC